Molecule: ribosomal RNA, 407 nt
Filed under: uncultured bacterium
Lineage: Bacteria
Description: partial 16S ribosomal RNA
Rfam family: Bacterial small subunit ribosomal RNA
Source: RNAcentral
AUUGAACGCUGGCGGCAGGCCUAACACAUGCAAGUCGAGCGGAACGGCGGACGGGUGAGUGAUGCCUAGGAAUCUGCCUGGUAGUGGGGGAUAACGUCCGGAAACGGGCGCUAGUACCUCAUACUAUCAGAUGAGCCUAGGUCGGAUUAGCUAGUUGGUGGGGUAAAGGCCUACCCAGGCGACGAUCCGUAACUGGUCUGAGAGGAUGAUCAGUCACACUGGAACUGAGACACGGGCCAGACUCCUACGGGAGGCAGCAGUGGGGAAUAUUGGACAAUGGGCGAAAGCCUGAUGCAGCCAUGCCGCGUGUGUGAAGAAGGCCUUCGGAUUGUAAAGCACUUUAAGUUGGGAGGCGUUACCAGCAGAAGAAGCACCGGCUAACUUCGUGCCAGCAGCCGCGGUAAUUC